AGCGAACGCUGGCGGCAGGCCUAACACAUGCAAGUCGAACGAAGUCUUCGGACUUAGUGGCGGACGGGUGAGUAACACGUGGGAACGUACCUUUUGGUUCGGAACAACUCAGGGAAACUUGAGCUAAUACCGGAUGAGCCCUUCGGGGGAAAGAUUUAUCGCCAUUAGAGCGGCCCGCGUUAGAUUAGCUAGUUGGUGAGGUAAAGGCUCACCAAGGCUACGAUCUAUAGCUGGACUGAGAGGAUGAUCAGCCACACUGGGACUGAGACACGGCCCAGACUCCUACGGGAGGCAGCAGUGGGGAAUCUUGCGCAAUGGGCGAAAGCCUGACGCAGCCAUGCCGCGUGGAUGAUGAAGGUCUUAGGAUUGUAAAAUUCUUUUACCAGGGACGAUAAUGACGGUACCUGGAGAAAAAGCCCCGGCUAACUUCGUGCCAGCAGCCGCGGUAA
Molecule: ribosomal RNA, 449 nt
Filed under: uncultured bacterium
Lineage: Bacteria
Description: partial 16S ribosomal RNA
Rfam family: Bacterial small subunit ribosomal RNA
Source: RNAcentral